This 128-nucleotide small nucleolar RNA is filed under the name Ochotona princeps (American pika). RNAcentral describes it as "Small nucleolar RNA SNORA71 (ENSOPRG00000024068.1)". Lineage: Eukaryota; Metazoa; Chordata; Mammalia; Lagomorpha; Ochotonidae. The record is from RNAcentral.
UGGGGCCACUAAACACAUGGAGCUGUUGUCACUUGAAAUGGACUAAGCUUCCGGAGCAGCUGUGGCAGGUUUUUUCUUGUGUUUGAAGGGUCACUGCUGCUCCUUGCAAAUUCUGAAAUGUUCUCACA